UACGAAGGGGGCUAGCGUUGUUCGGAAUUACUGGGCGUAAAGCGCACGUAGGCGGAUUGUUAAGUCAGAGGUGAAAUCCCGGAGCUCAACUUCGGAACUGCCUUUGAUACUGGCAAUCUAGAGUCCGGAAGAGGUUAGUGGAAUUCCCAGUGUAGAGGUGAAAUUCGUAGAUAUUAGGAAGAACACCGGUGGCGAAGGCGGCCCACUGGAUCGGUACUGACGCUGAGGUGCGAAAGCGUGGGGAGCAAACAGG
RNAcentral lists this ribosomal RNA (253 nucleotides) under uncultured bacterium. RNAcentral's name for it is "partial 16S ribosomal RNA". It matches the Rfam family "Bacterial small subunit ribosomal RNA", at positions 524 to 776 of the family's 1533-position model. The record is from RNAcentral.